GUACACGCUGUGACUAGCAUAUCAAUAAGCGGAGGAAAAGAAACUAACAAGGAUUCCCUUAGUAACGGCGAAUGAAGCGGGAAGAGCUCAAAUUUGAAAUCUUGAAAGGUUACCUUUCACGAAUUGUAGUUUAAAGAAGUGUUUUCUGUUACGAUCAUAAUAUAAGUUCUUUGGAAUAGGACAUCAUAGAGGGUGAGAAUCCCGUAUUUGACCUUUACUUUCAACUUUGUGAUACACUUUCAAAGAGUCGGAUUGUUUGGGAAUGCAGUCCAAAAUGGGUGGUAAAUUUCAUCUAAAGCUAAAUAUUGGCGAGAGACCGAUAGCGAACAAGUACCGUGAGGGAAAGAUGAAAAGAACUUUGAAAAGAGAGUUAAACAGUACGUGAAAUUGUCAAAAGGGAAGCGUUUGACACCAGUGUUGUUUUCUCGAAAAUCAAUUAAAGAACUGUUUAUGCUAAGUUGUUUAGACUUUAUCAGCUAACUGUUUAGUUUUGAGCUUUUCUUUAAUGCACUUUUCAGUUAACAAGUCAACAUCAAUUUCUUUUGCUGUAAAAAAGCUUGAGGAAGGUGGCUUGAGAUUCGUCUUAAGUGUUUAUAGCCUCUUGCCUAUGCAGUCGGAGAGAUUGAGGUCUGCAGCGUAGAUCCUUCGGGGCUAAAUGCAUUUGUGCUAAGUUAUAGUAUUUUAUAGACAACUUGUUGACUAUGAUUUAGUCUUGUAGCUUACUCGCUUAUGCUAUUUUACCUACGCUUAGGAUGUUGAGCGCAUGUCUCUCUCU
RNAcentral lists this ribosomal RNA (775 nucleotides) under uncultured Neocallimastigales. Its description in RNAcentral is "partial large subunit ribosomal RNA". It matches the Rfam family "Eukaryotic large subunit ribosomal RNA", at positions 22 to 616 of the family's 3401-position model. Lineage: Eukaryota; Fungi; Neocallimastigomycota; Neocallimastigomycetes; Neocallimastigales. The record is from RNAcentral.